RNAcentral lists this long non-coding RNA (475 nucleotides) under Chinchilla lanigera (long-tailed chinchilla). RNAcentral's name for it is "lncRNA (ENSCLAG00000023813.1)". Lineage: Eukaryota; Metazoa; Chordata; Mammalia; Rodentia; Chinchillidae. The record is from RNAcentral.
ACGCCACAGCACGAACACUUUGGGACUGACCCUGUGUUUAUUGGGGUGCGGGAAGUUACACCUUCCUAAGUUUCUCCUGAGCAGCGUGUGCCCAGGAGAAGGGGAGCCCUUUGCAGCAGAGAGCGGAGAAGGCACAUCCGGGGACGCUUGUUGCAGCCUGUUCCUUUGUACCCAGCAGCUACCCUGUGGGCCUGCAGGGGGCGAUGUCUCCCCCGGAACUGGAGCACACGGAGGGCCGGGGCUUUGUGGACAGCGGCGUGGUCCAGCCUUUGGUAGAAGACGGGACGUGAUGGUGUCACCGCUGGUGUUCUCUUCCCAUUGCCGCCAGGCAGAAUACCUUUCCAAAUAUUUUGUACCAUUAUGAUUUUAAAAUCUGGCAGUCCACCACACACCAGCUGCGGAGGCCCGCCCAAGGAUGUGCGUGAAUCAUUCCGACAUGGAGAAACCCCUGGGAAUACAUGCCACACAACGGGUC